This 537-nucleotide ribosomal RNA is filed under the name uncultured bacterium. Its description in RNAcentral is "bacterial SSU rRNA". It matches the Rfam family "Bacterial small subunit ribosomal RNA", at positions 337 to 887 of the family's 1533-position model. The record is from RNAcentral.
UCCUACGGGGGAGCAGCAGUGGGGAAUAUUGCACAAUGGGCGCAAGCCUGAUGCAGCAACGCCGCGUGAGGGAUGAAGGCCUUCGGGUUGUAAACCUCUUUUAGCAGGGAAGAAGCGAAAGUGACGGUACCUGCAGAAAAAGCACCGGCUAACUACGUGCCAGCAGCCGCGGUAAUACGUAGGGUGCAAGCGUUGUCCGGAAUUAUUGGGCGUAAAGAGCUCGUAGGCGGUUUGUCGCGUCUGCUGUGAAAUCCAGAAGCUCAACUUCUGGCCUGCAGUGGGUACGGGCAAACUAGAGUGCGGUAGGGGAGAACGGAAUUCCUGGUGUAGCGGUGGAAUGCGCAGAUAUCAGGAGGAACACCGAUGGCGAAGGCAGUUCUCUGGGCCGUUACUGACGCUGAGGAGCGAAAGCGUGGGGAGCAAACAGGAUUAGAUACCCUGGUAGUCCACGCCGUAAACGGUGGGUGCUAGCUGUGGGCCACAUUCCACGUGGUCCGUGACGAAGUAACACAUAAGCUCCCCCUGUGCUCGACGUCC